CCUUGUAUGCUCGCCAGAGAAUACCAAAACUCUUUUUAUUAAUGUCGUCUGAGUACUAUAUAAUAGUUAAAACUUUCAACAACGGAUCUCUUGGUUCUGGCAUCGAUGAAGAACGCAGCGAAAUGCGAUAAGUAAUGUGAAUUGCAGAAUUCAGUGAAUCAUCGAAUCUUUGAACGCACAUUGCGCCCCUUGGUAUUCCGGGGGGCAUGCCUGUUCGAGCGUCAUUUCAACCCUCAAGCUUAGCUUGGUAUUGAGUCUAUGUCAGUAAUGGCAGGCUCUAAAAUCAGUGGCGGCGCCGCUGGGUCCUGAACGUAGUAAUAUCUCUCGUUACAGGUUCUCGGUGUGCUUCUGCCAAAACCCAAAUUUUUCUAUGGUUGACCUCGGAUCAGGUAGGGAUACCCGCUGAACUUAAGC
Molecule: ribosomal RNA, 414 nt
Filed under: Botrytis cinerea
Lineage: Eukaryota; Fungi; Ascomycota; Leotiomycetes; Helotiales; Sclerotiniaceae
Description: eukaryotic LSU rRNA
Rfam family: 5.8S ribosomal RNA (bases 71-224)
Source: RNAcentral